This 72-nucleotide transfer RNA is filed under the name Streptococcaceae bacterium. RNAcentral describes it as "tRNA-Arg". It matches the Rfam family "tRNA". Rfam says of the family: Transfer RNA (tRNA) molecules are approximately 80 nucleotides in length. Their secondary structure includes four short double-helical elements and three loops (D, anti-codon, and T loops). Lineage: Bacteria; Bacillati; Bacillota; Bacilli; Lactobacillales; Streptococcaceae. The record is from RNAcentral.
GAGCUCGUAGUGUAAUGGAUAUCACGCAAGAUUCCGGUUCUUGCGAUGCGGGUUCGAUUCCCGCCGAGCUCA